RNAcentral lists this ribosomal RNA (253 nucleotides) under uncultured bacterium. RNAcentral's name for it is "partial 16S ribosomal RNA". It matches the Rfam family "Bacterial small subunit ribosomal RNA", at positions 524 to 776 of the family's 1533-position model. The record is from RNAcentral.
UACAGAGGUCUCAAGCGUUGUUCGGAUUCAUUGGGCGUAAAGGGUGCGUAGGCGGCUCGUUAAGUCGGGUGUGAAAUCUCGGAGCUUAACUCCGAAACUGCAUUCGAUACUGCCGUGCUUGAGGACUGGAGAGGAGACUGGAAUUUACGGUGUAGCGGUGAAAUGCGUAGAUAUCGUAAGGAAGACCAGUGGCGAAGGCGGGGCUCUGGACAGUUACUGACGCUGAGGCACGAAGGUCAGGGGAGCAAACGGG